Choloepus didactylus (southern two-toed sloth) is the source of this 4892-nucleotide RNA transcript. It is a transcript of the gene named upstream binding protein 1, with no coding region annotated. The transcript has 15 exons. Lineage: Eukaryota; Metazoa; Chordata; Mammalia; Pilosa; Megalonychidae. The record is from RefSeq and is a predicted model, not a curated record.
AGCGUUAACUACGCCCGGCACGGGGCUUGUGGGGUGGGAGGCGGCGGCGGCAUGAGGCUCGGGGCCGUCUCCUGCGGGAGCGAGGCGCUGCCGUCGGCCUGGCCGCUCCCGCUACAGCUGCUUGCCGGGCUGGCCAGGCCCUGCUUGCGGGGUUCGGGCCACUCACGCCCCGGUCGCCUCCCGUGCCGCCACUGGUGACCACUCGCCGUGCCGCCGCCGGAAGCUUCACCCGCGCCCUCCCUCAGGACGCUCCCGCGGAGCUCCGGCCCUUUCGCCCUGGUCGCGGAGGCCGCGCUGCCUGCCGGGCUGCGGCGAGGUCGGAAGAUGGCCUGGGUGCUGAAGAUGGACGAGGUGAUCGAGUCCGGGCUGGUGCACGACUUCGACGCCAGCCUCUCGGGCAUCGGGCAGGAGCUGGGCGCCGGCGCCUACAGCAUGAGUGAUGUGUUGGCAUUGCCCAUUUUCAAGCAGGAAGAUUCCAGCCUUCCAUUAGAUGGUGAAACUAAACACCCACCAUUUCAGUAUGUGAUGUGUGCUGCAACAUCACCAGCAGUAAAACUGCAUGAUGAAACACUCACUUAUUUGAACCAAGGUCAGUCUUACGAAAUUCGGAUGCUGGAUAAUCGGAAAAUGGGAGAUAUGCCUGAAAUUAGUGGAAAAUUGGUAAAGAGCAUAAUAAGAGUUGUAUUCCAUGACAGACGGCUACAAUAUACAGAGCAUCAGCAACUUGAAGGUUGGAAGUGGAAUCGCCCAGGAGACAGACUUCUCGAUUUAGAUAUUCCAAUGUCUGUGGGAAUAAUUGACACUAGGACAAAUCCAAGCCAGUUAAAUGCAGUAGAAUUUCUGUGGGACCCUGCAAAACGCACAUCUGCUUUCAUUCAGGUACACUGCAUCAGCACAGAAUUUACUCCACGAAAGCAUGGAGGUGAAAAGGGCGUGCCUUUUAGGAUCCAGGUUGACACCUUUAAGCAGAAUGAAAAUGGGGAAUACACGGAUCAUCUGCACUCAGCUAGCUGCCAAAUCAAAGUGUUUAAGCCUAAAGGAGCAGACAGGAAACAAAAAACAGACCGAGAAAAGAUGGAGAAGAGAACUGCUCAUGAAAAAGAAAAAUAUCAGCCAUCCUAUGAUACCACAAUCCUCACAGAGAUGAGGCUUGAGCCUAUAAUUGAAGAUGCAGUUGAACAUGAGCAGAAAAAGUCCAGCAAGCGGACUUUGCCAGCAGACUACGGUGAUUCUCUGGCAAAGCGAGGCAGUUGUUCUCCGUGGCCCGAUGCCCCCACAGCCUAUGUGAAUAACAGUCCUUCCACAGUGCCCACUUUCACCUCCCCACAGCAGAGCACUUGCAGUGUACCAGACAGCAAUUCAUCUUCCCCAAAUCAUCAAGGAGAUGGAGUUUCACAGGCCUCUGGUGAACAACUUCAGCCAUCAGCCACGAUUCAGGAAACACAGCAAUGGCUGCUCAAAAACAGAUUCUCUUCCUACACAAGAUUGUUUUCCAAUUUUUCAGGUGCCGACUUACUGAAACUGACAAAGGAAGAUUUAGUACAAAUUUGUGGUGCAGCUGAUGGAAUUCGGCUCUAUAAUUCACUGAAGUCAAGUUUAUCAUGCAAUCUACUUGGAAGAAAUGGUUGCCUCAGAAGUAGCUCGAAAACUUGCACUGGUCUUUAAAAUCCCUUUGCACCAAAUUAACCAAGUUUACAGACAGGGCCCUACUGGGAUUCACAUUCUCGUUAGUGAUCAGGUGGUUCAGAACUUUCAGGAUGAGAGUUGUUUUUUAUUCUACACAGUAAAAGCUGAAAAUGGUGGUGGUAUCCACAUAAUUUUGAAGUGAUGUUUCAUGCAGACUGAACUAUCUUCAGUACCAAAUACAGUCACGCUUAAAAGUGUGUGAAGACUGAAUCUAAGAAGUCUUGGAAUUGGAUUUUACCAUAUAAGAUGUUUCAUAUUGAAAACACAUGACCUUUCUAAUGCACUGUAUGAGAGGCGAAUCUCCUCGCUGUCACUGCCAUAGCCAAGCAUCCUUGUGAGAGCGAGCACGGGGACAGCAUGCAUCUGGCUCUGGAGACCACGGUGCAGGCAGAGCUACCUACUUCUCUGGCAGAGGCCAGCAGAUAACAGAGUUCCCAAAAGCAGCCUUUGCUGUCUUUUUCACACUGUAUGCGGUUUGGAAAUGAAUGUAAAGACUUACUGUGGGCAUCUGCCUUUCUGUGCCAGUUUGGCUUUUAUUGCCUGAACUUCAUGCUCACCUGGGGCGGGGGUGGGGACAGUGCUGCUGUGGAGAGCUGCGCUGUGCUGACACGGCGCACGGUGGUCAGGUAAGAGAGGCACUGCAACUGCUUGGAGGAAAUCCUGCCUACGGGUCCACAUCUGAUGCGAUCAUGCCAGAUCGGGGAAGAUCCAAGCCAGAAAGGUGGGCUUGAAGCAAACGGCCAUUACAGGAGUACCUUGAUCAGAGGAUCAAGUGUAAAUCUAAUAGGUACAAAGACUUUUUGUGUUUUUGCUUUGCCACAGAUUUAUUGAAAAACUUUUUGCUUCUGUUUCCAUUUUUUUAAAAAUUGUUUUAUUUUCAUUUUUGAAGCCCCAUUGCCUUUUUAACUCAUGUGGUUUUCUUUUUCUCCUUCCCUUACUCCAUAACAACCCCCCCCAUACAUCCUGCUUUGUUGCCUAUUUUAGACAUUUUUAAAGCCCUGCUCCAGACAUUGGAAACAGGUGACCUAAGCAGGGGGACAAAAAGUGUUACUGCUGGUAGCUUUUGACUUGGUGGUAAGGGGUCUCUGUUAUCAACAAGAUGAAAUAGUUUAUGGAACACUAGACGUCAUUAAUCAAACACUAAAAUGUACCAUAAAAACCCCUUACACCUCUCAAUAUGAGCUUUCGUACAAUCAUGGAUAACGUUCUGGUUAUUAAGUAGGGGUUUUUUAUACACCACAUAAUAAUAGCUUCUUUUCUAUAAAAAGAGUGCCUCUUUCACAGAACCAAAUGCUUGUCUGCCAGUGUCCUUUUCAAAGAGAAAUCCACAAUUUUCUCAUUUUUCUCCCAUACCUUUGUUUUCCCUUUACCCAGAGCAUUCCCAAAUUUCAUCAGCAAGCAUUUUUGAGGCCUGUGUGGUGUAGCAGACCUAAUUUAAAAAAAAUUAUUCCAUUUUAAUUGUAUAUCUAUUUGCACAGGUAUUUGGCUUUGAAUGUACUAUUUGGUCUUCCUCUCUUGUUCACGUGAAAACGGGGGUGAGAUUUUGAGUUUGAAUUCUUUCCCAGAAGACAAACCACUUUACUGGGUAAAAGCUUUGACAUUUUAUAUUUAUUUCAUAAGAGGGUUAAUUAUUGAUACAAAGAAGUACUGUCUCAAGGUAUUUCCAUCUUCAGUUUGAAAUAUCUGCAACUUCUGUAGACCCUAUAGAAAGAGAACUUUCCUUUCUGUCUUUUCCCCAUGCUUUUGUAUGACCACACGUUUUCUGUACCCAAUCACUUGGGAAAUAAGCGAGCUUCUCUCUCAAUCAUUUUAGAGUUUUGCUUGUCUGUUUAGCGUUCCUUUUUGAGGUCUCAAGAUAUAUGGAACAAUAAAUGCCAUUUAAUGCUGUGUGCUAUUUUGAACUCAUCAGGUUUUAGAAGUGGGGUAAAAAUACUUAAAAAGCUCAACAAACAUGAAAUUAUUAUAUGCGCGGUAUUGAACAUUAGUCUAUCCCAGUGAAAACAGGUUAAAUUAUGGGCACCAGCAAUUUGCAAAUUUGCUAUGUUUUUUUUUAAUAGGAUGUACACAUUUCCGUAUAAUAAAUGUUUUCCGAUUGUUUGCAGAAGUGUGUCUCAUUUAAACUCCCAGUUCCUGCCUUGUUCCAAGGGUCACCUCAAGUCCUGUGCACAUGACAGCAUCCAGGGCAGCGGUGUACGUGGCUUGUGAGCACUCAAACAGCCCAAAUGUUUUAAGAGGCUAGGCCCAUGUGGGGUUUUUUUCCUCCUUUCAGUUUGUUGGUCUCUCAGAACUGAUGCAGCUUGAGGACAGAUUAUUCAAGUAACUGUUUCACACUUAGUUUAAAGAAGAAUCAAAACUGAUUUUCCUCUAAAGAGGUUCUCCUAUUUUGUAAAUGACGUCAUGGGUCACUGAGUAGCAAGACCAGUACUAAUGUAGAGAAGGCUCUGGUCAUUUAAAUAAUAGAGACUUUAAUUAUUAAUCACCAAAGGAAGUUUGUGUUAUAUGCUCAUUUAUUUAAAAAUGGCUACCUGCAUCAAUCAUUUUUCCCCCACACAGUGAUAUAAAUGUUUAUUUUAAAAUAACUGCUAUAGUAUACGCACAAUAUACAAACCAAGAAAUACUGGAAUAUAUUGUAAGGCAAUAAAAUCAUCAGGAUUUUUAUACUUAUUCUGAUUAUCUGCUAAAUUGAUUUAUGGGGGUAUAUGUGUAUCUGCCUUCUCUUCCUAGAAUGCAGCUGAGGCAGUGUAUGUAUCCUUAAAAAUGCUUCUUCUAAAAAAUGUCCAUUUAGUGGAGGUGUUGCUAGUCAUGGAAAAAUUUCCUCUUGAUUUUGCUGUUCUAUUUCAGCUUCUCAUGAGUCUCUGGCUCUUCACUUCGGGGAGUGGUUGCUAGGAAGGGUCAGCUACCACUAACAUGCAAGUUCACAAUGAAGGUGGUGAUGGGUCCCUAGUCUUCAAUCAAGAUCAGAAAUGUGGACAGCACAGAGCAAGAGUCAGCCACAGCAGAAAGGAGAUCAACUUACCAGAUUUCAGACAUUAGGAAGGUCUAAAUUUAAAAAAUGCUUUUGCUCAUAUCUGUCUGCCAUAAAAUUAUAGCAUAAACCCAACUUAAUUUUUUCUUAACAUUGCAAUGGUUUAUUUAUUUUAUAUUAUGAGUCAAAGGUGCCAAACAUUUACUGAAUCUGAGUUUUAAGUGGUAAAAUUUUGAAUAGU